Molecule: long non-coding RNA, 469 nt
Filed under: Heterocephalus glaber (naked mole-rat)
Lineage: Eukaryota; Metazoa; Chordata; Mammalia; Rodentia; Bathyergidae
Description: lncRNA (ENSHGLG00000039234.1)
Source: RNAcentral
CCCGGCAUCCCAGCCCCACCAGCACCCGGGAGUGGAGCAAUGCGGGCAGAUGGGGGCCAAGUGCAGUCUCUGGAGACAAGAUGGGAGUUGCUGUCCUUUCCUGCCUGCCCUCAGGAGAGAUCGCUCCCCACUUCUCAGAGUCCUCCUCAAUCUGGGAUGAGAAGAAAGAGCACUGACUACACUGAGCAUUCCUGCACCAUGCUGGCUGGAUCCUGGACCUCCCUCUGUCUUCUUCCCCUCAUCUGGCAAAUGGGUACAAUGUCCCCUUUAAGCACUCUGAGGCAUUUCUCUGAGGGUGAAGUGAGACGGUGCGUUUUAAAAAUUCAUACCCACUUCAUUCCACAGUGCAUUUGGGGCAGCUUCUAAAAAUACCUGUGUUAUAAAGAGAUAAAAAUAAAUACUGUGUGAGAUCAUUUUACAAUUGUACUCUGAGCACGUUUCCCUAUUAUCGCUUGUAGAGGCGUAGAAG